AACGAACGCUGGCGGCGUGGAUAAGACAUGCAAGUCGGGCGGAGCAUUUUGGGUAGCAAUAUUCAAAGCGUUCAGCGGCGCAAGGGUGCGUAACACGUGGGUAAUCUGCCUUGAAGUUUGGAAUAACUCCGAGAAAUCGGAGCUAAUACCGAAUGUAAUUCUACGAGUUAACUCUUAAGACUUAAAGUUGGGGAUCGUUAGACCUGACGCUUCAAGAUGAGCCUGCGGCCUANCAGCUAGUUGGUGAGGUAAUUGCUCACCAAGGCAAAGACGGGUAGCUGGUCUGAGAGGACGACCAGCCACACUGGAACUGAGACACGGUCCAGACACCUACGGGUGCAGCAGUCGAGUAAUUUUUCUCAAGUGGGCGAAAGCCUGAAGGAGCGACGCCGCGGUGGGGGAUGAAUGGCUUCCGG
This 416-nucleotide ribosomal RNA is filed under the name uncultured bacterium. RNAcentral's name for it is "bacterial SSU rRNA". It matches the Rfam family "Bacterial small subunit ribosomal RNA", at positions 29 to 421 of the family's 1533-position model. The record is from RNAcentral.